RNAcentral lists this ribosomal RNA (258 nucleotides) under Enterobacteriaceae bacterium. RNAcentral describes it as "partial 16S ribosomal RNA". It matches the Rfam family "Bacterial small subunit ribosomal RNA", at positions 512 to 769 of the family's 1533-position model. Lineage: Bacteria; Pseudomonadati; Pseudomonadota; Gammaproteobacteria; Enterobacterales; Enterobacteriaceae. The record is from RNAcentral.
CAGCCGCGGUAAUACGGAGGGUGCAAGCGUUAAUCGGAAUUACUGGGCGUAAAGCGCACGCAGGCGGUUUGUUAAGUCAGAUGUGAAAUCCCCGGGCUCAACCUGGGAACUGCAUCUGAUACUGGCAAGCUUGAGUCUCGUAGAGGGGGGUAGAAUUCCAGGUGUAGCGGUGAAAUGCGUAGAGAUCUGGAGGAAUACCGGUGGCGAAGGCGGCCCCCUGGACGAAGACUGACGCUCAGGUGCGAAAGCGUGGGGAGC